This 249-nucleotide ribosomal RNA is filed under the name uncultured bacterium. RNAcentral's name for it is "partial 16S ribosomal RNA". It matches the Rfam family "Bacterial small subunit ribosomal RNA", at positions 559 to 793 of the family's 1533-position model. The record is from RNAcentral.
CGUAAAGACGCAUGCAGGUGGUUUGUUUAAGUUCAGAUGUGAAAGACCCGGGGCGUCAACCUCCGGAAUUGCAUUUGUAAACUAGGCAGACUAGAGUACUGUAGAGGGGGGUAGGGAAGUUUCUAGGUGUAGCGGUGAAAUAGCGUAGAGAUCUGAAGGAAUACCGGUGGCGAAGGCGGCCCCCUCGGACAGAUACUGACACUCAGAUGCGAAAGCGUGGGGAGCAAACAGGAUUAGAUACCCUGGUAG